Molecule: long non-coding RNA, 686 nt
Filed under: Rattus norvegicus (Norway rat)
Lineage: Eukaryota; Metazoa; Chordata; Mammalia; Rodentia; Muridae
Description: long non-coding RNA NONRATT023560
Source: RNAcentral
UCCUCUGGUUGCCCUAAGGACUACCUUGGUGUCCCCACAGUGUAACUCAGGCCUAGUCUCAGCGAGGACACAUGCAUCCAGUGCUACAGCCACUGCACCUGGCUCUCAUGGGCACCGGUCUCUGCCCCACUUUCUCGUUUCUAUUGGCAGCACAGCAUAUUGGCACAAAUGCUCAAACACUGCAGGCCCCAUCACCCGUUUUAGGUUCCUACCCUUCUGUCCCUCUCCUGCUAAGCUAAUGCAGGUGUCAAGAGAGUGAGGGGUGGGGUUCCAAUGACAACACUCUGGGGGGUGAUGGGAAUAAGGGGUUGAGGCCGAACUGUCUGCAUCUCAUACUGGGACCUGCAUGUACCAGUGCCAGGGCUUGGGUUGAAUUCUGCUCAACCCUAUGGUGCCCAAUCUCUGCCCUGCCAUCUGCAUGUACCAUCAUGCCCUGGAGGGAGCCCAUCCUGGCUCUCACUUCACUCGCAUUGUAUUGCCCCCUGGGGAGCCCCUCCACCACCUCAGAGAUGGAGUUGUACAGAGGGUGUGGAGAAUAAGGUUAUCCUGUGACCAAAGGAGACAUGGGAAGAAGCCCCCCACUUCCACGACCGAGGGUCCCCCACCAACCCGGUUCUCAGAUAUGCAAGUACCUCACUUUGUUAACUUAAUUAACUUAUGGGUUUCAUUAAAGUUUUCAGUAGGAA